This 450-nucleotide ribosomal RNA is filed under the name uncultured bacterium. RNAcentral describes it as "bacterial SSU rRNA". It matches the Rfam family "Bacterial small subunit ribosomal RNA", at positions 354 to 796 of the family's 1533-position model. The record is from RNAcentral.
GUGGGGAAUAUUGGACAAUGGGCGCAAGCCUGAUCCAGCCAUACCGCGUGGGUGAAGAAGGCCUUCGGGUUGUAAAGCCCUUUUGUUGGGAAAGAAAUCCUGUCGAUUAAUACUCGGUGGGGAUGACGGUACCCAAAGAAUAAGCACCGGCUAACUUCGUGCCAGCAGCCGCGGUAAUACGAAGGGUGCAAGCGUUACUCGGAAUUACUGGGCGUAAAGCGUGCGUAGGUGGUGGUUUAAGUCUGCUGUGAAAGCCCUGGGCUCAACCUGGGAAUUGCAGUGGAUACUGGAUCACUAGAGUGUGGUAGAGGGAUGCGGAAUUUCUGGUGUAGCAGUGAAAUGCGUAGAGAUCAGAAGGAACAUCCGUGGCGAAGGCGGCAUCCUGGGCCAACACUGACACUGAGGCACGAAAGCGUGGGGAGCAAACAGGAUUAGAUACCCUAGUAGUCC